This 451-nucleotide ribosomal RNA is filed under the name uncultured bacterium. RNAcentral's name for it is "partial 16S ribosomal RNA". It matches the Rfam family "Bacterial small subunit ribosomal RNA", at positions 354 to 796 of the family's 1533-position model. The record is from RNAcentral.
GUGGGGAAUAUUGGACAAUGGGGGGAACCCUGAUCCAGCCAUGCCGCGUGUGUGAAGAAGGCCUUUUGGUUGUAAAGCACUUUAAGCGAGGAGGAGGCUACCGAGAUUAAUACUCUUGGAUAGUGGACGUUACUCGCAGAAUAAGCACCGGCUAACUCUGUGCCAGCAGCCGCGGUAAUACAGAGGGUGCAAGCGUUAAUCGGAAUUACUGGGCGUAAAGCGCGCGUAGGUGGCCAAUUAAGUCAAAUGUGAAAUCCCCGAGCUUAACUUGGGAAUUGCAUUCGAUACUGGUUGGCUAGAGUAUGGGAGAGGAUGGUAGAAUUCCAGGUGUAGCGGUGAAAUGCGUAGAGAUCUGGAGGAAUACCGAUGGCGAAGGCAGCCAUCUGGCCUAAUACUGACACUGAGGUGCGAAAGCAUGGGGAGCAAACAGGAUUAGAAACCCUGGUAGUCC